This 212-nucleotide ribosomal RNA is filed under the name uncultured fungus. RNAcentral's name for it is "partial small subunit ribosomal RNA". The stretch from base 100 to 212 matches the Rfam family "Eukaryotic small subunit ribosomal RNA", at positions 749 to 864 of the family's 1831-position model. The record is from RNAcentral. Lineage: Eukaryota; Fungi.
AGUCAAUGCUUGCUGUUCGUCGAAAGAUGUAACGGCAAGCGUUGGUUCACCUCCGCAAAGCUGCAUGUGCUCUUAACUGAGUGGAUGUAGAGUUGCGGGCUUUUACUGUGAGAAAAUUAGAGUGUUCAAAGCAGGCUUAUGCCAGAAUACUUCAGCAUGGAAUAAUGAAAUAGGAUCACGAUCUUAUUUUGUUGGUUUCUAAGAUCGAGAUA